GCCCGGUUAGCUCAAUCGGUAGAGCGUGAGACUCUUAAUCUCAAGGUUGCGGGUGAGUGGCUCCUCAAACACCCUACAAUAAGAAUUUAGAGUACUAACUUCCGCAGGUUCGACCCCCGCAUCGGGCU
Xylaria sp. CBS 124048 is the source of this 128-nucleotide non-coding RNA. The record is from the annotation of a GenBank genome assembly. NCBI's taxonomy places the organism in Eukaryota, Fungi, Ascomycota, Sordariomycetes, Xylariales, Xylariaceae.